RNAcentral lists this ribosomal RNA (408 nucleotides) under uncultured microorganism. RNAcentral's name for it is "bacterial SSU rRNA". It matches the Rfam family "Archaeal small subunit ribosomal RNA", at positions 330 to 745 of the family's 1478-position model. The record is from RNAcentral.
GCGCACCAGGCGAGAAACUUUACAAUGUGCGAAAGCACGAUAAGGGAACUCUGAGUGCCUCCUAAGGAGGCUGUUCAGGUGUCUAAAAGCACCUGAAGGAAGGGCUGGGUAAGACCGGUGCCAGCCGCCGCGGUAACACCGGCAGCCCAAGUGGUAGCCACGUUUAUUGGGUCUAAAGCGUCCGUAGCCGGCUGGGUAAGUUCCUUGGGAAAUUUGGCUGCUUAACAGUCAAGCUUUCAGGGAAUACUGCCCGGCUUGGGACCGGGAGAGGUCAGAGGUACUCCAGGGGUAGGGGUGAAAUCCAUUAAUCCUUGGGGGACCACCGGUAGCGAAGGCGUCUGACCAGACCGGGUCCGACGGUGAGGGACGAAGGCUAGGGGCGCGAACCGGAUUAGAUACCCGUGUAGU